Molecule: small nucleolar RNA, 136 nt
Organism: Ursus americanus (American black bear)
Lineage: Eukaryota; Metazoa; Chordata; Mammalia; Carnivora; Ursidae
Source: Ensembl
GCACAGUGAUGGAUUGAUGGCGAGCCUUUCUCUGUGGGCCUCUCAUAGUGUACCCAUGCCAGAGGAGCGUGCAGCCCUGAGCCACUGCCCAGCCUCCUCACUGGUGGGCUGCGAGCACUGAAGGGGGCUCAGGGUU